AGGGUGAAGGGGUUGCAAUAAACUGGUGGCUGCGACUGUUUAAUAAAAACACAGCACUCUGCAAACACGAAAGUGGACGUAUAGGGUGUGACGCCUGCCCGGUGCCGGAAGAUUAAAUGAUGGGGUGCAAGCUCUUGAUUGAAGUCCCGGUAAACGGCGGCCGUAACUAUAACGGUCCUAAGGUAGCGAAAUUCCUUGUCGGGUAAGUUCCGACCUGCACGAAUGGCGUAACGAUGGCCACACUGUCUCCUCCCGAGACUCAGCGAAGUUGAAGUGUUUGUGAUGAUGCAAUCUACCCGCGGCUAGACGGAAAGACCCCAUGAACCUUUACUGUAGCUUUGCAUUGGACUUUGAACCGAUCUGUGUAGGAUAGGUGGGAGGCUAUGAAACCGGAACGCUAGUUUCGGUGGAGCCGUCCUUGAAAUACCACCCUGGUUUGUUUGAGGUUCUAACCUUGGCCCGUGAUCCGGGUCGGGGACAGUGCAUGGUAGGCAGUUUGACUGGGGCGGUCUCCUCCCAAAGCGUAACGGAGGAGUACGAAGGUACGCUAGGUACGGUCGGAAAUCGUGCUGAUAGUGCAAUGGCAUAAGCGUGCUUAACUGCGAGACCGACAAGUCGAGCAGGUGCGAAAGCAGGUCAUAGUGAUCCGGUGGUUCUGUAUGGAAGGGCCAUCGCUCAACGGAUAAAAGGUACUCUGGGGAUAACAGGCUGAUACCGCCCAAGAGUUCAUAUCGACGGCGGUGUUUGGCACCUCGAUGUCGGCUCAUCUCAUCCUGGGGCUGUAGCCGGUCCCAAGGGUAUGGCUGUUCGCCAUUUAAAGAGGUACGUGAGCUGGGUUUAAAACGUCGUGAGACAGUUUGGUCCCUAUCUGCCGUGGGCGUUGGAUAUUUGAAGGGGGCUGCUCCUAGUACGAGAGGACCGGAGUGGACGAACCUCUGGUGUACCGGUUGUCACGCCAGUGGCAUCGCCGGGUAGCUAUGUUCGGAAGAGAUAACCGCUGAAAGCAUCUAAGCGGGAAACUCGCCUUAAGAUGAGAUAUCCCUGGGGACUGGAUCCCCUUGAAGGGUCGUUCGAGACCAGGACGUUGAUAGGUCAGGUGUGUAAGCGCAGUAAUGCGUUCAGCUAACUGAUACUAAUUGCCCGUAAGGCUUGAUCCUAUAACA
Molecule: ribosomal RNA, 1163 nt
Filed under: Burkholderia cenocepacia
Lineage: Bacteria; Pseudomonadati; Pseudomonadota; Betaproteobacteria; Burkholderiales; Burkholderiaceae
Description: bacterial LSU rRNA
Rfam family: Bacterial large subunit ribosomal RNA
Source: RNAcentral